Molecule: long non-coding RNA, 3305 nt
Filed under: Nicotiana benthamiana
Lineage: Eukaryota; Viridiplantae; Streptophyta; Magnoliopsida; Solanales; Solanaceae
Description: long non-coding RNA (NBEN_LNC009385)
Source: RNAcentral
UCAAAAUAUAAAAAGACUCCUCAAAUAGCUCCUGAAUGCAGUGGUCCUGGGGUAUCAAUCAUUCUCGAGCUGUGGUAAAUGAAUCAAUACCCGAAUAAGAAAAACAAAGCCAAACAGAUUAAAUGACUCGAGACACUAUGUGAGACCGCAAAUCCUACUGGACACAUACGAGACAAGAAUGAGCUAUUUUUUAAAAAUUAACUUAUAUGGUCAAGAGUGACUGUUAAUGCAAACUCAACAAAAUUGACCUCAUGGACAUGAAAAAUGAUUAACUAAGACUUUUAUGGAUUGAAACUCCCAAUAUCAUAGCCCAAAAAUUAAUUUGCAGAAAUAACCCAUUUCGCAAAAAUAGCCUAUGUGGCAGAAAGUUGCUAAAGAUGCAAACUCAAAAGGACGGACCUUAAAGUAAUAUGACUCCUAGUUGUGGACUUAAAAUUCUAAGACAUGGGUGAUUGAACCACUUUUUGCAAAAAUGAUCCCAUUUUGCAAGAAUAGCAGAUGUGGCGAAAAGUGGCUAGACAUGCAAGAUUUGGCUAAGACCCCGCAAAGGCAAUAACCUAAGACUCGCUCGGAAGACCGUACCCUAUGUGGGUUGCAUACGUAUCUCGUCCCGAAAGGACGAGAAUCGGGUUUGUGUAAUUCGGGAAGAUGCAACUAAUUUGGAAAAAUUAUAUUUUUGUCGUUCUUGAAAAAUGUAAACUCUUUUUGGAUUUUCUUCUCUUUUUUGAAUCUUUGAAAAAAGAUGAAAAAGUAUAAAAUCUUUUUUGAUUAUCUUUUUUCUCCUUUUUUAGAUUUUUGGAAAAUAAUGGAAGAGUGUAAAAUAUUUUUGGAUUUUCAUUUUCAUUUUUUUUUAUGUUUUGGAAAACUAUGAAAGAAAAAUGUGAGUGGGCCCUACUUGCUUCGUUUUUCACCAUUCUUUCCCAAACAUCGGUCCGUCAAAUGACCUUUUUAUCCUCAAAGAUGCAACAUUUAGCACAUAGGAUGACUAAAUAUCAUUUUGGACUACGGGCCCAUUUUGACAAAAUUUAGGCAGGCACCUUACAAAGGGACACGGUACCUGGGACCGAGCCCUACUAGGUGUAAAUGACAUGAUGCAAAUNNNNNNNNNNNNNNNNNNNNNNNNNNNNNNNNNNNNNNNNNNNNNNNNNNNNNNNNNNNNNNNNNNNNNNNNNNNNNNNNNNNNNNNNNNNNNNNNNNNNNNNNNNNNNNNNNNNNNNNNNNNNNNNNNNNNNNNNNNNNNNNNNNNNNNNNNNNCCCCCCAAAUUAAGGGUGACUCAAUAGAGAGUUUAUGCACGCGACGCGUGCUCCGAGACUUGUUGCAGAAAAAAGACCCAUGGCUAUGCAUAUGAUGACAGUUAUAAAGCACUAAACACAUAAAGAAAAAAUUGUAAAUAAAUAAGCAACUAGCAAAUAAUAAAAUGACAUGAACAAAAUAAAAAUCAAAUAAAGCAAACAAAACACAUAGAAACCUCAACCGAAUAUCCUAUGAAGCCAACAAAAUCAAAUACUAGCUCGAACCCGCAACUCUCCAUCAGAGUCGCCAGAGAUGUCACACCCCUUUUUUUAAACAAAACCUCACUAAACCCUCUUAAAUAAAGAAAAGGAUUUAGUAAAAGCAUGAAAAGGGUUUUCCAUUUGAAAAGUGACAAAAAUUUCUUUCAAAAGGAAAAUAACUCAGAGUCGCCACUUGACAUUUGAUUUCGGUGUGCUCGGUCACCGUUUUUUUUCUUAAAUAAUUUUUCCUUUUAAAACAUUUUAGACUCUAAAACGAAGUCCACACCAGAGAUUCAGGUAAGGGUGUUCAUUUGACUCGGGGAGAAGGUGUUAGGCAUUCCCCAAGUCCCGUAACUAGUACGGUUGCGUACAUGAUCAAGUUGACUAUUAAAAUAUUCGAUUGAGGUAAAAACAUAGAAAAAAAAAAAAAUAAACACACAAGAGGCUCGAGGUCGUCCCUUCCUAAAUAAAAUAAAUAAGAAAAAUGAAAAUAAGUUAAGCAUACUACAAAUUCUAUUUUCGAUCUCCGGGUACAAAUUCUACAGGGCAUACCCCGGAUAAGAAGUACGGUUGCGUACAUGAUCAAGCUGGCUAUUAAAACACUCGAUUGAGGUUAAACAAACACAGCAAAAUAAAUACACAAAAGGGCUUGAGGCCAUCCCCACCUAAUAAAAGAAAAAUAAGAAUAAAAUACUACACUAUGCUUCCUUCUCAAACGCGUCACAAGCUCCAAAGUAUUUACAAAGUACUUCGGGGCAUUUUCCGGGUUAAAAUACUUACAAAGUCCACGGGGCAUUCCCCAGAUAAAUUUAUCUAAGGGACAACCUGUCACCUCAAAACUAACAAAAAUCCUAAAGCUUGCCUAACCAAGUAUCGACGACCUAAAUAUAAUACUAACGAUGUUAAAAAGGCAAACAAAUAAAGUAGUAAGAUGUUUAAGGUCAAAUUUUACAUAUUAGCCAUUCAACUUGCAUGAGUAAAAUCAGUUUAAUACUCCUUUUUUACAUCAUUAAGGCAAAGCGCACAAUCAGAUUUUUGUUUUUCUAAAAUCAAAUAACAUGCAAGAUCUAAAUCAGAUUAGCCAUGAAAUUCAGAUUAAGGCAAGUAUUGAUCUAUUCAAUAGUCAGAAUCAUAUCAUCACACAUAAGCUUUAAGGGAACAAGAAUUUUGACCUCAGUUUCGUAAAAUCAAAUCAAUCGGAUAAGACCUUGAUAAGCAACGGAUUGGUUAGAACUGGGACAGAACCUCGGAUAGUCGGCACGACGGAUUCAAGCCACCUCACAGGAAGCCUCGAUCGGACUUCAACAAGGAACCAACAAAAACAGUCAUUGAAACUCAGUCGGAAAACUCGAAACUUGCCGGUAAAGGAUGCUAAAUGAGCCUUGUAUUCUUUACUGUUUUCAACCCCUUUUUUUUUGUUCACUGCCGCCUAUCUGCCGCUUCAGCAUCUGUGUAUGUGUGUGUGUUUAAGUUUGAGAGGAACAUGGUAUUUUGUAAGUUCCGGUGAAGAUGAAGAAGGGGUUGAAGAGGAUGCUUAGUCGCUGCUGUUCGACGGCGUGGAGUGGGUUAGAUGAAGAAGAAGGUCCUUGGUUUUCUUUGUUUUUUCUAGAUCGGACUGCUGCUGCUUCUUCUUUCUUUUGGUCAAAGAUGGAGACAGAUAGGUUGAGGAAUUCCAGUGGGUUAGAGGUGGCUGGCAAGGAGCUGGUGGAGCUGGUCGUUUGGUGUUUCAGAGGUGACGGGGCUGCGUUUGUUUUUUAGGGUGCUAGGAUUUUUCUUCUUGUUUUUUAGAGAAAAGAAGGACUUAGGGUUUC